This 406-nucleotide ribosomal RNA is filed under the name uncultured bacterium. RNAcentral describes it as "partial 16S ribosomal RNA". It matches the Rfam family "Bacterial small subunit ribosomal RNA", at positions 30 to 526 of the family's 1533-position model. The record is from RNAcentral.
AUUGAACGCUGGCGGCAGGCCUAACACAUGCAAGUCGAACGAUCGGCGGACGGGUGAGUAAUGUCUGUGAAUCUGCCCGAUGGAGGGGGAUAACUACUGGAAACGGUAGCUAAUACCGCAUACUAUCACAUUUACCCAGAUGGGAUUAGCUUGUUGGUGGGGUAAAGGCACACCAAGGCGACGGUCCCUAGCUGGUCUGGGAGUCUGACCACCCAAAAUGGAACUGGGACACGGCCAAGACUCCAACGGGAGGCGGCAGUGGGGAAUAUUGCACAAUGAACGCAAGCCUGAUGCAGCCAUGCGGCUUGUAUGAAGAAGGCCUUAGGGUUGUAAAGUACAUUCAGCGAGAAGACGUUAACCGCAGAAGAAGCACCGGCUAACUCCGUGCCAGCCGCCGCGGUAAUUC